This 253-nucleotide ribosomal RNA is filed under the name uncultured Eubacteriales bacterium. Its description in RNAcentral is "uncultured Clostridiales bacterium partial 16S ribosomal RNA". It matches the Rfam family "Bacterial small subunit ribosomal RNA", at positions 524 to 776 of the family's 1533-position model. The record is from RNAcentral. Lineage: Bacteria; Bacillati; Bacillota; Clostridia; Eubacteriales.
UACGUAGGGAGCAAGCGUUAUCCGGAAUUAUUGGGUGUAAAGGGUGCGUAGACGGGAAAUUAAGUUAGUUGUGAAAUCCCUCGGCUCAACUGAGGAACUGCAACUAAAACUGAUUUUCUUAAGUGCAGGAGAGGAAAGCGGAAUUCCUAGUGUAGCGGUGAAAUGCGUAGAUAUUAGGAGGAACACCAGUGGCGAAGGCGGCUUUCUGGACUGUAACUGACGUUGAGGCACGAAAGUGUGGGGAGCAAACAGG